Molecule: RNA transcript, 1321 nt
Organism: Spinacia oleracea (spinach)
Lineage: Eukaryota; Viridiplantae; Streptophyta; Magnoliopsida; Caryophyllales; Amaranthaceae
Gene name: 4-hydroxybenzoate polyprenyltransferase, mitochondrial-like
Exons: 7
Source: RefSeq, a predicted model, not a curated record
AGCGCUGGGUGGGAAAUCAAUUCCCGCUUUUUUUCGACGCCUACAGGCGUCUAGGAUGUUGUAGACAUCUUUUGUCGUCGAGAAGGUACGUGUAUUCAGUUUACCAAGGAUUUAAUAAGAGGCCAAAAGUAUCCAUCAUCCCAACUCCGAAGUGCUCCCCGCACCCUCGCAAUUCGCAAACUCUAUAAAAGUUUCACCAAAAUCAUUCUCUCUCUUGCCUCGCCGUUAUCUUGCUCUCAUGCCUCACAAUUGAGAACUGCUAAGAUGAAAAGCUCAAUGAAAAUCAUGAAAAGAUCUUAUUAUUAGUUUCUAGGGUUUUCUUGCGAUUAUUCAGAGAAUCAAUGUUUCUGUCAAUUGCAUUCCACAUUUCUGGAAAGGGCAUAUUAUAUCAGACAUGGAGAGCUAAAAUAGGAGAUGCGGAUAGACUACACGAGAGGAAAAAUUUGGCAGCUUUACAAUCAUAUUUGACAAAGAGUUGGUAACAAAUCAAAUUAAGGUGGAACGUAUUUAGUCACAUCCAAUUUCUAGUGGUUUUCAAGGGAUUUCAUUUCUAGGUGUACAACUUCUAUUUGGUCUUGGAAUUCUCCUUCAGCUGAAUGAUUACAGCCUUGAGGCUUGGGAACUUAACGAAGGAAUGGCUUAUUGGGUUUGGAUUUAUAACCAUCAGUGGUCUCGCUCUUAGCAGAUACAACGCACAUUUGGGAUGGCCAUAUUAUGCAUGCUUGACUGCUGCAUCUGGGCAGAUAGCAUGGCAGAUUUAUGCAACUGGCUUGUCAAAUCGUGCUGAUUGCAAUAGAAAGUUUGUUUCAAAUAAAUGGUUUGGUGCUCUCAUCUUUAGCGGUAUCCUGUUUGGAAGACUGUCCUCAUAGCUGUUAUUGUAGAGGUAAACUAACUUUUAAUUUAUAUUGUUAGAUUUGUAUUAGAAGAAUGCAUAACUGUGUAUUAUGGACAUAAGCUAAUGUUGUCUGGCAAUGAGCAAUACCAAAGGAGAAAAGGACAUAUCCAAGCUGGCUAGAGUUACAAAGGGUUAAACAAGGGUUUUGGAUCAUAGGUUUUGUGUUAAAGAUGAAUGACCGUGUGAUUCAAGUCUCGAGUAUCCUGGCUGCAUAUGGCUCCAUAACACAGAGAAGUUCUGGUAUACAGAUUAUUCAAGUAGGUCCAAAUCCGCAAAUAAUGAGAAAUUGCAUCAAUUCUUGAAAACGAGAGAAGCUUUAAUUACUUUAAAUUUCUCGUUGCUUCUAAUGUAAACAAUUUCAGAUGAAGUAUGCCUUGAUAGUAUACAGUAUUAUAAUGAUAUUGUAACUAUUUUUUGUUGUUACUA